This 338-nucleotide unclassified non-coding RNA is filed under the name Hevea brasiliensis (rubber tree). The record is from RNAcentral. Lineage: Eukaryota; Viridiplantae; Streptophyta; Magnoliopsida; Malpighiales; Euphorbiaceae.
GUCAAAUGGUGUUAUAACACUAGCUGGAUCUACUGAAGUUAGUGUUAGUACGCUUAAGGAAAUGGCUGCUUGCCUAGAACAAGGAUCAUUGAGCAGGGCAACAGGGAGUACAAACAUGAACAAUCAAUCAAGUCGUUCACAUGCAAUCUUCACCAUCACACUAGAGCAAAUGCGUAAACUCAAUCCUUUGUUCCCCAGUGAUAGCAAUACCAAUGAGAGUAUGAAUGAAGAGUAUCUGUGUGCCAAGCUGCAUUUAGUAGAUCUUGCUGGAUCAGAGCGAGCUAAAAGAACAGGUUCUGAUGGUUUGCGUUUUAAAGAAGGAGUUCACAUCAACAGGG